This 249-nucleotide unclassified non-coding RNA is filed under the name Hevea brasiliensis (rubber tree). Lineage: Eukaryota; Viridiplantae; Streptophyta; Magnoliopsida; Malpighiales; Euphorbiaceae. The record is from RNAcentral.
GUUGGGUUCCAAUCUCCUUCGCUUCCAAUCUUCUUUAUCCCUCUCUUUCUUCGUCUCUCUGUUUAUUUCUUCUAAUUACAGGCGCAGCUGGGCUUUCUUUGACAGCCUAAAUCCACAUCCAUGUCUUCUUUAAAUAUGUAAUUCCAAUUUCGGCCUCUUUGAUUUUACUUCCUCACAUGUUGCUUUUGCUGGAGAUUGAUGUGGGUCAAUAGAUCAUGCCCAGAUCUUGUUCUAUCUUGAUCCACUUGC